CCUACGGGUGGCAGCAGUGAGGAAUAUUGGUCAAUGGCCGGAAGGCUGAACCAGCCAAGUCGCGUGAGGGAAUAAGGCCCUAUGGGUCGUAAACCUCUUUUGUCAGGGAGCAAAGGCGUCCACGUGUGGACGAGAGGAGAGUACCUGAAGAAAAAGCAUCGGCUAACUCCGUGCCAGCAGCCGCGGUAAUACGGAGGAUGCGAGCGUUAUCCGGAUUUAUUGGGUUUAAAGGGUGCGUAGGCGGAGUGUCAAGUCAGCGGUAAAAUUUCGGGGCUCAACCCCGUCGUGCCGUUGAAACUGACGCCCUUGAGUGAGUGAGAAGUAAGCGGAAUGCGUGGUGUAGCGGUGAAAUGCAUAGAUAUCACGCAGAACGCCGAUUGCGAAGGCAGCUUACUAAACUGCCACUGACAUUGAUGCUCGAAAGUGUGGGUAUCAAACAGGAUUAGAUACCCUAGUAGUC
Molecule: ribosomal RNA, 460 nt
Filed under: uncultured bacterium
Lineage: Bacteria
Description: partial 16S ribosomal RNA
Rfam family: Bacterial small subunit ribosomal RNA
Source: RNAcentral